RNAcentral lists this ribosomal RNA (468 nucleotides) under uncultured bacterium. Its description in RNAcentral is "partial 16S ribosomal RNA". It matches the Rfam family "Bacterial small subunit ribosomal RNA", at positions 28 to 507 of the family's 1533-position model. The record is from RNAcentral.
GACGAACGCUGGCGGCGUGCUUAACACAUGCAAGUCGAACGGAAAGGCCCUGCUUUUGUGGGGUUCUCGAGUGGCGAACGGGUGUGUAACACGUGAGUAUCCUCCCCUUGACUUUGGGAUAACUUCAGGUAACUUGGUCUAAUACCGUAUAUGAGCUCCUGCUGCUUUGUGGUGGUUGGUAAGUUUCGGCGUUUGGGGAUGGACUCGCGGCUUAUCAGCUUGUUGGUUGGGUAGUGGCUUACCAAGGCUUUGACGGGUAGCCGUCAUGUGAGGGUGACCGGGGACAAUGGGACUGAGAAACGGAGCAGAAUGCUACGGGAGGCAGCAGGGGGGAAUAUAGCAGAAUGGGAGGAAGCAUGAGGAAGAAAAGCGGCGUGGGGGAUGACGGGCAGGGGGUUGUAAAAAGAAUUAGAAUGUGACGAAGCGAGAGUGACGGUAAUGGGUAAAGAAGCAACGGCUAACUACGUG